CGUGCCAGCAGCCGCGGUAAUACGAGGGAUGCAAGCGUUAUCCGGAAUUAUUGGGCGUAAAGCGUCCGCAGGUGGCUCUGUAAGUCUGUCGUUAAAGAAUGGGGCUCAACCCCAUACAGGCGAUGGAAACUACAAGGCUAGAGUUUGGUAGGGGUCACGGGAAUUCUUAGUGUAGCGGUGAAAUGCGUAGAUAUUAAGAAGAACACCAGCGGCGAAAGCGCGUGACUGGGCCAGUACUGACACUCAUGGACGAAAGCUAGGGGAGCGAAAGGGAUUAGAUACCCCUGUAGUCCUAGCCGUAAACGAUGAUAACUAGGUGUUGCCCGUAUCGACCCGGGCAGUGCCGUAGCCAACGCGUUAAGUUAUCCGCCUGGGGAGUACGCACGCAAGUGUGAAACUCAAAGGAAUUGACGGGGGCCCGCACAAGCGGUG
Molecule: ribosomal RNA, 432 nt
Filed under: uncultured cyanobacterium
Lineage: Bacteria; Bacillati; Cyanobacteriota
Description: bacterial SSU rRNA
Rfam family: Bacterial small subunit ribosomal RNA
Source: RNAcentral